RNAcentral lists this ribosomal RNA (346 nucleotides) under uncultured bacterium. RNAcentral's name for it is "bacterial SSU rRNA". It matches the Rfam family "Bacterial small subunit ribosomal RNA", at positions 30 to 377 of the family's 1533-position model. The record is from RNAcentral.
AUUGAACGCUGGCGGCAUGCCUUACACAUGCAAGUCGAACGGCAGCACGGGAGCAAUCCUGGUGGCGAGUGGCGAACGGGUGAGUAAUAUAUCGGAACGUGCCCAGUCGUGGGGAUAACGUAGCGAAAGCUACGCUAAUACCGCAUACGAUCUAUGGAUGAAAGCGGGGGAUCGCAAGACCUCGCGCGAUUGGAGCGGCCGAUAUCAGAUUAGGUAGUUGGUGAGGUAAAGGCUCACCAAGCCGACGAUCNGUAGCUGGUCUGAGAGGACGACCAGCCACACUGGGACUGAGACACGGCCCAGACUCCUACGGGAGGCAGCAGUGGGGAAUUUUGGACAAUGGCGC